UACAGGGGGUGCAAGCGUUAUUCGGAAUUAUUGGGCGUAAAGAGCGCGUAGGCGGUUUGGUAAGUUUGGUGUGAAAUCCCUGGGCUCAACCCAGGAACUGCGUCCGAUACUGGUUGGCUUGAAUCCGGGAGAGGGAUGCGGAAUUCCAGGUGUAGCGGUGAAAUGCGUAGAUAUCUGGAGGAACACCGGUGGCGAAGGCGGCAUCCUGGACCGGCAUUGACGCUGAGGCGCGAAAGCCAGGGGAGCAAACGGG
This 253-nucleotide ribosomal RNA is filed under the name uncultured bacterium. RNAcentral describes it as "partial 16S ribosomal RNA". It matches the Rfam family "Bacterial small subunit ribosomal RNA", at positions 524 to 776 of the family's 1533-position model. The record is from RNAcentral.